AGCGGCGCACGGGUGAGUAACGCGUGGAUAAUCUGCCCAUGAACCUGGGAUAACAACGAGAAAUUGUUGCUAAUACCGGAUAAGCUCACGUACUGUAAGGGUAAGUGGGAAAAGGCGGCCUCUGGAAUAAGCUGCCGUUUGUGGAUGAGUCCGCGUCCCAUUAGCUAGUUGGUGGGGUAAAGGCCUACCAAGGCGACGAUGGGUAGCCGGCCUGAGAGGGUGGCCGGCCACACUGGAACUGAAACACGGUCCAGACUCCUACGGGAGGCAGCAGUGGGGAAUAUUGCGCAAUGGGCGAAAGUCUGACGCAGCAACGCCGCGUGAGGGAAGAAGGUCUUCGGAUCGUAAACCUCUGUCGGGAGGGAAGAACGGCAUGGGGUCGAACAGGCUCUGUGAUUGACGGUACCUCCAAAGGAAGCACCGGCUAACUCCGUGCCAGCAGCCGCGGUAAUACGGAGGGUGCGAGCGUUAUUCGGAAUUACUGGGCGUAAAGGGCGUGUAGGCGGCUUUGUAAGUCAGAUGUGAAAGCCCACGGCUUAACCGUGGAACUGCAUUUGAAACUGCUUGGCUAGAGUACGGGAGGGGGUGGCGGAAUUCCCGGUGUAGGAGUGAAAUCCGUAGAUAUCGGGAGGAACACCGGUGGCGAAGGCGGCCGCCUGGACCGUAACUGACGCUGAGACGCGAAAGCGUGGGGGAGCAAACAGGAUUAGAUACCCUGGUAGUCCACGCUGUAAACGAUGGAUGCUAGGUGUUGGGGAGCAAUCUUCANUGCCGCAGUUNACGCGUUAAGCAUCCCGCCUGGGGAGUACGGNCGCAAGGCUGAAACUCAAAU
RNAcentral lists this ribosomal RNA (832 nucleotides) under uncultured bacterium. RNAcentral's name for it is "bacterial SSU rRNA". It matches the Rfam family "Bacterial small subunit ribosomal RNA", at positions 94 to 906 of the family's 1533-position model. The record is from RNAcentral.